GACGAACCGUGCGAACGUUGUUCGGAAUCACUGGGCUUAAAGGGCGCGUAGGCGGCCUGCCAAGUCAGGAGUGAAAUCUUUCGGCUUAACCGGAAAAGUGCUCUUGAUACUGGCGGGCUAGAGGGAGAUAGGGGCAUGUGGAACUUCCGGUGGAGCGGUGAAAUGCGUUGAUAUCGGAAGGAACGCCGGUGGCGAAAGCGACGUGCUGGACCUCUUCUGACGCUGAGGCGCGAAAGCCAGGGUAGCGAACGGG
Molecule: ribosomal RNA, 253 nt
Filed under: uncultured bacterium
Lineage: Bacteria
Description: partial 16S ribosomal RNA
Rfam family: Bacterial small subunit ribosomal RNA
Source: RNAcentral